UACGUAGGGCGCGAGCGUUGCCCGGAUUUAUUGGGCGUAAAGGGCGCGUAGGCGGUCACGCACGUCCGUUGUGAAAGCCCCCGGCUCAACUGGGGAGGGUCACGCGAUACUGAUCGACUCGAAGGCAGGAGAGGGAAGUGGAAUUCCCGGUGUAGUGGUGAAAUGCGUAGAUAUCGGGAGGAACACCAGUGGCGAAGGCGACUUCCUGGCCUGUUCUUGACGCUGAGGCGCGAAAGCUAGGGGAGCAAACAGG
This 253-nucleotide ribosomal RNA is filed under the name uncultured bacterium. Its description in RNAcentral is "partial 16S ribosomal RNA". It matches the Rfam family "Bacterial small subunit ribosomal RNA", at positions 524 to 776 of the family's 1533-position model. The record is from RNAcentral.